Molecule: ribosomal RNA, 253 nt
Filed under: uncultured prokaryote
Description: partial 16S ribosomal RNA
Rfam family: Bacterial small subunit ribosomal RNA
Source: RNAcentral
UACAGAGGGUGCAAGCGUUAAUCGGAAUUACUGGGCGUAAAGCGCGCGUAGGUGGUUCGUUAAGUUGGAUGUGAAAUCCCCCGGCUCAACUGGGGAAUUGCACGGGAAACUGCGGGGCUUGAGUUCGGGAGAGGGAAGCGGAAUUCCGGGUGUAGCGGUGAAAUGCAUAGAUAUCCGGAGGAACACCGGUGGCGAAGGCGGCUUCCUGGACCGACACUGACGCUGAGGCGCGAAAGCUAGGGGAGCAAACGGG